RNAcentral lists this ribosomal RNA (666 nucleotides) under uncultured ciliate. Its description in RNAcentral is "SSU rRNA". It matches the Rfam family "Eukaryotic small subunit ribosomal RNA", at positions 326 to 1012 of the family's 1831-position model. Lineage: Eukaryota; Ciliophora. The record is from RNAcentral.
UGGUAGUGUAUUGGACAACCAUGGCUAUCACGGGUAACGGAGAAUUAGGGUUCGGUUCCGGAGAGGGAGCCUGAGAAACGGCUACCACAUCUAAGGAUAGCAGCAGGCGCGAAAAUUGCCCAAUCCCGACUCGGGGAGGCAGUGACAAGAAAUAACAACCCAGGGAUUAUCCCAGGGAUUGUAAUGAGAAAAAUGUAAAAAUCUUAUCGAGUAUCAACUGGAGGGCAAGUUUUGGUGCCAGCAGCCGCGGUAAUUCCAACUCCAGUAGCGUAUAUUAAAGUUGCUGCAGUUAAAAAGCUCGUAGUUGAAAUUCUGCUCCGGCAGUUCAAUUUCCAAUAGGUUAUCGACACUCCGGGCAUCAGUCUGCAAUCUUUUUCACGGCAUUCAUUUGUCGGGCUAGGGAGCAGACGCUUUACCUUGAGAAAAUUAGAGUGUUCCAGGCAGGCUUCAGCCCGAAUACAUUAGCAUGGAAUAAUAGAAUAGGACUAGAGACUAUUUAUUGGUUUAAGGCUCUAGUAAUGAUUAAUAGGAACAGUCGGGGGCAUUAGUACUUAACAGUCAGAGGUGAAAUUCUAGGAUUUGUUAAAGACUAACUAAUGCGAAAGCAUUUGCCAAGCAUGUUUUCAUUAAUCAAGAACGAAAGUUGGGGGAUCAAAGACGAUUAGA